This 69-nucleotide transfer RNA is filed under the name Ictidomys tridecemlineatus (thirteen-lined ground squirrel). Its description in RNAcentral is "Spermophilus tridecemlineatus (thirteen-lined ground squirrel) tRNA". It matches the Rfam family "tRNA". From Rfam's summary of the family: Transfer RNA (tRNA) molecules are approximately 80 nucleotides in length. Their secondary structure includes four short double-helical elements and three loops (D, anti-codon, and T loops). Lineage: Eukaryota; Metazoa; Chordata; Mammalia; Rodentia; Sciuridae. The record is from Rfam by way of RNAcentral.
GGAAUUGUGGCUCAGUAGUAGAGUGUUUGCCUAUCACGCUUAAGGCACUGGGUUCAAAACUCAGCACCA